UAAUACAGAGGGUGCAAGCGUUAAUCGGAAUUACUGGGCGUAAAGCGUGCGUAGACGGUUAUGUAAGUUAGGUGUGAAAGCCCCGGGCUCAACCUGGGAAUUGCAUUUAAGACUGCAUAGCUAGGGUGCGGAAGAGGGAAGCGGAAUUUCCGGUGUAGCGGUGAAAUGCGUAGAUAUCGGAAGGAACAUCAGUGGCGAAAGCGGCUUCCUGGUCCAGCACCGACGUUCAGGCACGAAAGCGUGGGGAGCAAACAGGAUUAGAUACCCUGGUAGUCCACGCCAUAAACGAUGAGAACUAGACGUUGAGAGGGUAAGCCUCCCAGUGUCGAAGCUAACGCGAUAAGUUCUCCGCCUGGGGAGUACGGCCGCAAGGUUG
Molecule: ribosomal RNA, 376 nt
Filed under: uncultured bacterium
Lineage: Bacteria
Description: bacterial SSU rRNA
Rfam family: Bacterial small subunit ribosomal RNA
Source: RNAcentral